CCGGGGCUUCUUCUACGGUUACCGUCAUUAUCUUCACCGUUGAAAGUGCUUUACAACCCUAGGGCCUUCAUCACACACGCGGCAUGGCUGGAUCAGGCUUGCGCCCAUUGUCCAAUAUUCCCCA
Molecule: ribosomal RNA, 124 nt
Filed under: uncultured bacterium
Lineage: Bacteria
Description: partial 16S ribosomal RNA
Source: RNAcentral